CCAGCAGCCGCGGUAAUUCCAGCUCCAAUAGCGUAUAUUAAAGUUGUUGCAGUUAAAAAGCUCGUAGUUGGAUUUCUGUGAGAGUGCCGGUGUCGGCUGAUGCUUGUACGCAGGCGCUCUUACAUCCUUCUGUUAACUGUUCUUGGCAUUUUAUUGCUGGUUCAGGGCUCAGAUAUUUUACCUUGAGAAAAUUAGAGUGUUUCAGGCAGGCUUAUGCCGGAAUACAUUAGCAUGGAAUAAUGGAAUAGGACCUGUGCGUCUCUCGGGGCGCCGGUCUCCGUUGUUGGUUUCGGGGACUAAUGUAAUGAUUAAUAGGGAUAGUUGGGGGCAUUAGUAUUUAAUAG
RNAcentral lists this ribosomal RNA (344 nucleotides) under uncultured eukaryote. RNAcentral describes it as "SSU rRNA". It matches the Rfam family "Eukaryotic small subunit ribosomal RNA", at positions 567 to 904 of the family's 1831-position model. The record is from RNAcentral.